Molecule: ribosomal RNA, 395 nt
Filed under: uncultured bacterium
Lineage: Bacteria
Description: bacterial SSU rRNA
Rfam family: Bacterial small subunit ribosomal RNA
Source: RNAcentral
ACGGGGAUAGCUCCUGAAAUAGGAGAGUAAUACCGGAUACGCUGCAUGUUGUCAGAGGACAUGCAGGAAAGGAUCUUUUGAUUCGCACAGAGAGCGGCCCGCGUACUAUUAGCUAGUUGGUGAGGUAACGGCCCACCAAGGCGACGAUAGUUACCCGGCCUAAGAGGGUGAUCGGGCACAUUGGGACUGAGAUACGGCCCAGACUCCUACGGGAGCAGCAGCUAAGAAUAUUCCGCAAUGGACGAAAGUCUGACGGAGCGACGCCGCGUGGAUGAUUGGAAGGCCGGAAGGUUGUAAAAUCCUUUUAUGACUGAGGAAUAAGGGAAGUGAGAGAAACGCUUCUUGGUGACUGUAGGUCAUGAAUAAGCAACGGCUAAUUACGUGCCAGCCGCUGC